UCAAACAAUCACGUCCCGCGAGCUCACAC
This 29-nucleotide small RNA is filed under the name Bombyx mori (domestic silkworm). Its description in RNAcentral is "ovarian small RNA-24393". Lineage: Eukaryota; Metazoa; Arthropoda; Insecta; Lepidoptera; Bombycidae. The record is from RNAcentral.